UACGUAGGGCGCAAGCGUUAUCCGGAAUUAUUGGGCGUAAAGAGCUCGUAGGCGGUUUGUCGCGUCUGCUGUGAAAGACCGGGGCUCAACUCCGGUUCUGCAGUGGUACGGGCAGACUAGAGUGCAGUAGGGGAGACUGGAAUUCCUGGUGUAGCGGUGAAAUGCGCAGAUAUCAGGAGGAACAGCCGAUGGCGAAGGCAGGUCUCUGGGCUGUAACUGACGCUGAGGAGCGAAAGCAUGGGGAGCGAACAGG
RNAcentral lists this ribosomal RNA (253 nucleotides) under uncultured bacterium. RNAcentral's name for it is "partial 16S ribosomal RNA". It matches the Rfam family "Bacterial small subunit ribosomal RNA", at positions 524 to 776 of the family's 1533-position model. The record is from RNAcentral.